Molecule: ribosomal RNA, 563 nt
Filed under: Marinobacter sp.
Lineage: Bacteria; Pseudomonadati; Pseudomonadota; Gammaproteobacteria; Pseudomonadales; Marinobacteraceae
Description: bacterial SSU rRNA
Rfam family: Bacterial small subunit ribosomal RNA
Source: RNAcentral
GUCGAGCGGAACGAUGGUAGCUUGCUACCAGGCGUCGAGCGGCGGACGGGUGAGUAAUGCUUAGGAAUCUGCCCAGUAGUGGGGGAUAGCCCGGGGAAACCCGGAUUAAUACCGCAUACGCCCUUUUGGGGAAAGCAGGGGAUCUUCGGACCUUGCGCUAUUGGAUGAGCCUAAGUCGGAUUAGCUAGUUGGUGGGGUAAAGGCUCACCAAGGCGACGAUCCGUAGCUGGUCUGAGAGGAUGAUCAGCCACAUCGGGACUGAGACACGGCCCGAACUCCUACGGGAGGCAGCAGUGGGGAAUAUUGGACAAUGGGGGCAACCCUGAUCCAGCCAUGCCGCGUGUGUGAAGAAGGCUUUCGGGUUGUAAAGCACUUUCAGUGAGGAGGAAGGCCUUAAGAUUAAUACUCUUAAGGAUUGACGUCACUCACAGAAGAAGCACCGGCUAACUCCGUGCCAGCAGCCGCGGUAAUACGGAGGGUGCAAGCGUUAAUCGGAAUUACUGGGCGUAAAGCGCGCGUAGGUGGUUGAGUAAGCGAGAUGUGAAAGCCCCGGGCUUAACCUG